Sphaerodactylus townsendi is the source of this 747-nucleotide long non-coding RNA. RefSeq lists it as uncharacterized. NCBI's taxonomy places the organism in Eukaryota, Metazoa, Chordata, Lepidosauria, Squamata, Sphaerodactylidae. The transcript has 3 exons. The record is from RefSeq and is a predicted model, not a curated record.
GAACUCUGAAGGAGAAUGGACCGUAUCAUGGCUAUGGCUGUCAAGAUUUCAGAAAGAUAAAGAAAGUUAAUGAUGGUGGGGAAACGAAGAAGUGGACACACACUUACUUGGUCUGACUUUUUAUCAGUGCACUAGACUGCCUCAGCACAAUUGAAAAUAUUACUGAUGGAAAAUCAUGAAGAUCCUCUGAAGAUGCCAGCCACAGAAGCAGACGAAACAUCAGGAGAAAAUACUACUGGAACGUACAACCAUAUGGGCCAUAUAACCUGGACAACCCACAACCUCUAGUGAUUCCAGCCAUGAAAGUCUUCGAUAAUACAUUAAUUGAGAUCUAUUCUUUACCUGGUCCUUAAAUUCUUCUGAUUGUAGUUUAGCACCAUGAAUGUUUUGAUGUUUUUCUUCAACAUUAUUUGAAUUUUCAGCACUAACAGUUCAUAAUCUGUACCACAAAAAGUUCCUAGUCUUGUUUUAGCUGAAAGAAUAGAGCAUCUCCAUCUUCUGCUUCUGAUUAUGUAUCUAUUUGAUUUCAGUAUUGGCCGUCCAAUGCUGUCCAUACAUACAGUCAUAAAUACAGUUGCCUGAAACAUGUGUUCACAAUGAACAAAGUAUUGUCUUCACAGAAUUCUAUGGGUCAUUCUCGUGCUCCAUUUUGUGCUCCUAGCCCAACUUUUCUGACCAUUUUUAUUCUACUUCUGCAUUCUAGACACCUAAAAUUAUCAGCACAAAUUGUUUUGGUGUACAGUCCAU